AUGACCCGGCAUCUUGAGCUGCAAGUACAUAUAACAAGGCCUUGCCAUGAAUUUUUCAUAAGCCGGUCGCCCAAACAGUGCAUGGUACGGGCUCUGGAUUCUCACCACCUCAAAGGUCAAUGUCUCAGACCGGGAAUCAUGUUCAUCACCAAACACAACUUCCAAACCGAUCUUGCCUACAGGAUAUGCCGAUUUACCUGGCACCACAUCAUGAAAAACAGUGUUGGACGGUUUAAGACUCUUGUCUGUCAACCCCAUGCGACGGAAGGUCUCAUAAUACAGAAUGUUAAUACUGCUUCCUCCAUCCAUGAGUACUUUGGUGAACUUAUAACCUCCCACCUGAGGCGCCACCACCAAAGCCAGUUGACCCGGAUUGUCAACCCGGGGCGGAUGAUCCUCCCUACUCCACACAAUAGGUUGUUCGGACCAUCGCAGAUAGCGUGGUACUGUCGGUUCAACAGCAUUAACUGCCCUCUUGUGAAGCUUCUGAUCACGCUUGCACAAACUAGUGGUGAACACAUGAUACUGCCCACCAUUCAACUCCUUUGGGUGACUGGUAACCCGACUGCUCCUGAUUUCCUUAAUUAUUCUGCUGGUUAUUACCACCUUGGUUGUUCUGGUUGCCAUGGUUAUUCUGAAACCCAGAGUUUGAACCGUCGCCACCAUGAAAACCUGGACCUGAACCGCCUGACGGACCCUGAUCAUACCGGAAAAGAUCAGAGUUUUUGA
Molecule: ribosomal RNA, 729 nt
Filed under: Triticum aestivum (bread wheat)
Lineage: Eukaryota; Viridiplantae; Streptophyta; Magnoliopsida; Poales; Poaceae
Description: partial small subunit ribosomal RNA
Source: RNAcentral